GGCCCCGUAGCUCAGCGGUAGAGCAGCCGACUCAUAAUCGGUCAGGUCGCAGGUUCGAAUCCUGCCGGGGCCA
RNAcentral lists this transfer RNA (73 nucleotides) under Phycisphaerales bacterium. RNAcentral's name for it is "tRNA-Ile". It matches the Rfam family "tRNA". Rfam says of the family: Transfer RNA (tRNA) molecules are approximately 80 nucleotides in length. Their secondary structure includes four short double-helical elements and three loops (D, anti-codon, and T loops). The record is from RNAcentral. Lineage: Bacteria; Pseudomonadati; Planctomycetota; Phycisphaerae; Phycisphaerales.